This 376-nucleotide ribosomal RNA is filed under the name uncultured bacterium. RNAcentral describes it as "bacterial SSU rRNA". It matches the Rfam family "Bacterial small subunit ribosomal RNA", at positions 524 to 898 of the family's 1533-position model. The record is from RNAcentral.
UACGUAGGGGGCAAGCGUUGUUCGGAAUCACUGGGCGUAAAGGGAGCGUAGGUGGCUUUAUAAGUUAGAAGUUUAAUUCGCGGGCUUAACCCGCGUGUGGCUUCUAAUACUGUAAGUCUUGUGUAUGAAAGAGGGAGAUGGAAUUCCAGGUGUAGCGGUGGAAUGCGUAGAUAUCUGGAAGAACACCAGCAGCGAAGGCGGUCUCCUGGUUCAAUACUGACACUGAGGCUCGAAAGUUAGGGGAGCAAACAGGAUUAGAUACCCUGGUAGUCCUAACCGUAAACUAUGUACACUAGUUGUUGGGGGAGUCAAUCUUUCCAGCGACGUCGCUAACGCAUUAAGUGUACCGCCUGGGAAGUACGCUCGCAAGAGUGAA